GGGCGCGUAGCUCAGGUGGUUAGAGCGCACGCCUGAUAAGCGUGAGGUCGUAAAAUGGGAGUUAACGGGAUCG
RNAcentral lists this transfer RNA (73 nucleotides) under Streptococcus pyogenes. RNAcentral describes it as "tRNA-Ile". It matches the Rfam family "tRNA". From Rfam's summary of the family: Transfer RNA (tRNA) molecules are approximately 80 nucleotides in length. Their secondary structure includes four short double-helical elements and three loops (D, anti-codon, and T loops). Lineage: Bacteria; Bacillati; Bacillota; Bacilli; Lactobacillales; Streptococcaceae. The record is from RNAcentral.